UUACUAAAUCAGGACUAAAUUUCACACAGAUUUAGGAAAAAAAAAAAAAAAACACUAAACUACUCAAUAACCUCCAUUGAAUGACAUGCCAAAGUUCUCUCCAAGACCCUUCUCCUCACUCAGGUAGAGAGUCCCAAAAAACUUAGAGCUCCAAAGAAGUUCAUCUACGAGGAUUUUUUCACAUAAAAAACAGAAAAUCUGUCUUCUAAGUGAAGCAGUGAGCUCUAAUGCUGCACUCUCUGGAUGCAAGGACAAUGAGGAAGACUCCUCUUCCCUCUCAGUGGUAGAAGGUAUAGUGGUGAAUAUGUCUUGGGGCCCAGCAGGGCUUGCCUCAGUGUCGGGGGAAGAAACAACAACUUCUGCUGUCUCCCCAGGGCCAGGCCUGUAAGCAGCACUCUUUUGGGCAGCUGCACAGAACUCAGCUUCUCCAGGCAGCUAUGGAGAGACAGACCCUGGGAGGCAAAGGCCAUGGAGAGACCACGACAGCAACUAGAAAGUGUCUUAUGGUCAGACUGGUCCCCAGGAGCAGUGUAUCUCGGUUCAGUUUAGUGACCGCUGUGAUCCUGGACUCCAUUGGCUCAUGGGAAAAGGCGUUGGCUUUGGUGUCUGGGUCCCAGCCCCAUGUGGUACUUGACUGCUUGGUGCCUCACUCAGAGAGAUUGUAA
RNAcentral lists this long non-coding RNA (665 nucleotides) under Bos indicus x Bos taurus (hybrid cattle). Its description in RNAcentral is "lncRNA (ENSBIXG00000006747.1)". Lineage: Eukaryota; Metazoa; Chordata; Mammalia; Artiodactyla; Bovidae. The record is from RNAcentral.